ACCGUUAAUCCAAAGUUUUCAUUUCGUUUUUUUAAUAAUUUUUUUCUCUAAUAUCUUCGAAAGAGACUUUAAUUUCUUCGAAUUGGUGUCAAAAACUGCUAUAUGCAAAAGCAUAUGUUCAUUUCUCAUAAACUAGUUGCGUGUGUAUUAGCUGGCGGUCACUAAUCUUUUUGGGUAAGAUAUUUUCUCGCAAGUUGGGACAGUACUACUCCUCCUAGUCAAAGUUCAUCAGCCGUGUUGAGAAUCAGAACAUCAAUGAUCAACCCCCUUAGCUCCUUUCAGCAUUUAUGUACUUUCUCUUUGAAGCAUCAUCUCACGGGAUGCACACAGUGAACAGCUCAAUAACUUGCCGUGCUUGCUUUUGCAUGGUCAUAUCCAGAUAUCGAGUCACAGUUCGCAUACGAAUCUGAUCUCCCGGCUGGAUCAAGCGUAAAACAUGUCAUAUCCUAGGUUACCAUAUGUAUUUGAGAUUAAUCCUAACAAAUUUAUCAUAAGUAAGAUUGAUCAUAAAAAUAUUUAUUAUCAACAAAUUUUUUUACAAUGAUAUUUAUUUAUUUGUUUGUUUUAUGGGUGGCGUGUGGUUGGACGGAAGCAUGUUGUCAUGUAGCUCGCGGUUGGUGCAAUGCAAUUUGGACUCAGAGUUGGGUGGCUGUGGAAGUGCCAUUGAAGCAUGCUGGUGACCGACUUUAAGGUUUUGCAGGACCCACUGUAUGACUCCGAAUUUAGAAACUAGAGGCGGCUGACGCAACAAAAUUUAGCACGCAUGCUGGCUUGCGCCCCAGCGGCCCCGAAAAAGUAUUUUUUUACUCCUAAAUUAUGAGGUGUUUGGCUGUUUCCUCCUUUAACAGUUUACAUCGUGAUUCAUGCUUUAAGUAUUUUUCUUCCAAUAAAUUAUUUUUUUAUAAAAUAUGUUUUAAUGCAUGUUUAAAUCAUUUUUCAAAAGAACAUUUCAACGGUUGAUGGUUGGACAGAGGAUUGAAGUUUACCCGAAGUUAGAAGAUUAUCUUCUGUAUUUUAAUUUUUAAUACAUUUUUAAAUAUAC
Molecule: long non-coding RNA, 1042 nt
Filed under: Durio zibethinus
Lineage: Eukaryota; Viridiplantae; Streptophyta; Magnoliopsida; Malvales; Malvaceae
Description: long non-coding RNA (DZIB_LNC001537)
Source: RNAcentral